GAUGAACGCUGGCGGCGUGCCUAAUACAUGCAAGUCGAGCGGUAAGGCUUUCACAGAUUAUUUAACCAGAUAAGUUCUUCGGAAAACUGUUUGCAGCGAUGAUUCCCGGCUAGGGAAUCAGAGUUGAAUAAUGCGUGAAAGUACACGAGCGGCGGACGGCUGAGUAACACGUAGGAACGUACCCCAAAGUGAGGGGAUAAAGCACCGGAAACGGUGUCUAAUACCGCAUGUGAUCUUCGGAUUAAAGCUUCGGCGCUUUGGGAACGGCCUGCGCAUGAUUAGCUUGUUGGUGAGGUAAAAGCUCACCAAAGGCGACGAUCAUUAGCUGGUCUGAGAGGAUGAUCAGCCAGACUGGGACUGAGAACGGCCCAGACUCCUACGGGAGGCAGCAGUAGGGAAUUUCCACAAUGGACGAAAGU
Molecule: ribosomal RNA, 419 nt
Filed under: uncultured bacterium
Lineage: Bacteria
Description: bacterial SSU rRNA
Rfam family: Bacterial small subunit ribosomal RNA
Source: RNAcentral